AUUGUUGAAAAUAAUGGUGUCACUAGGUUUGAGUCGGUGGGAGAUGAAGGAAAAUGUUUCGGCUGUCGCUAUGAGUGUUUUAAUUUAUUGUGUGACAUCUGAAAAAGAAGCAAAUAGUACAAAAACUAUCACGAAUGAAGUUAUCGAAGUGUAGGUUCAAAUUGAGAUUAUGUUAUUCCUAUAAGCUGAUUCUCUGCGGAAAGGACACAUAUUGUAGAAGAAGGACACAUAAUGGAGAUGAUAGAAGUAUUGAAGGAGGUCAAGCAUGUAUCGUUUGAAAUGUACGGAAGUUUUUUCAUAGAUAAGCAAACACCUGAAAAUUUUCUUGACUUUAUCUUCAAAGUCCACUUAUGAAGGCAACAUGUAGUCACCGAAAUGCGUAUCUGGGUAGAUAAAAUAAAAUAAAUCACUGGCCUAAAGAAAGAAUUUUAUUUUUUAAUAAAUAAGUUAGCACUAU
This is a long non-coding RNA of Hermetia illucens (black soldier fly), 457 nucleotides long. RefSeq lists it as uncharacterized. The record is from RefSeq and is a predicted model, not a curated record. The transcript has 2 exons. NCBI's taxonomy places the organism in Eukaryota, Metazoa, Arthropoda, Insecta, Diptera, Stratiomyidae.